AGCGAACGCUGGCGGCAGGCUUAACACAUGCAAGUCGAGCGGACCUUUCGGGGUCAGCGGCGGACGGGUGAGUAACUCGUGGGAACGUGCCUUCCGGUUCGGAAUAACCCUGGGAAACUAGGGCUAAUACCGGAUACGCCCUUAUGGGGAAAGGUUUACUGCCGGAAGAUCGGCCCGCGUCUGAUUAGCUAGUUGGUGGGGUAACGGCCUACCAAGGCGACGAUCAGUAGCUGGUCUGAGAGGAUGAUCAGCCACACUGGGACUGAGACACGGCCCAGACUCAUACGGGAGGCAGCAGUGGGGAAUAUUGGACAAUGGGCGCAAGACUGAUCCAGCCAUGCCGCGUGAGUGAUGAAGGCCUUAGGGUUGUAAAGCUCUUUUAUCCGGGACGAUAAUGACGGUACCGGAGGAAUAAGCCCCGGCUAACUUCGUG
This 433-nucleotide ribosomal RNA is filed under the name uncultured bacterium. Its description in RNAcentral is "partial 16S ribosomal RNA". It matches the Rfam family "Bacterial small subunit ribosomal RNA", at positions 29 to 507 of the family's 1533-position model. The record is from RNAcentral.